GACACCUAGGAACAAAUUCAUCACAGCUAAUCAUUAAGGCUACUCUUAGUUUAAAUGAUAGCUAUUCAUGGUGCACUAAAUACAAAGGAAGAUAUCAGAGAUUUUAGUCAGAUGGUGCCUGACCUCUUGACAGCUAUUCUACAAACUGAACACAUAACAUUUCCAGUGUGAUGAAACAUCACUACUGGAAAAAUGGUGGAUAAGACAUUAUAUGCUUUUCCUCCCACUGUCAAUAUCCUAAUAAACAAGCAAGCAAGAUGUCAGAGGAGUUGCUCAAAAGAAAGGCCACUAUGGUGAGUUUAAUUCUGGAAACUGGGUAAUAGAAUAUAUACACUCCAGAGGGAAGGAAGAACCUUGGAAAUAAUUUUGUUGCAUCUUCAGAAAAGCGCUUUAAAGAACAGUCUGGUGAAUGCUUCCCAGUUCCCAUUAAUAACAGUUCUCAGAAUCUCACGGUCUUGGACCACAAAGGUGUUACAUUACAGGGAGUGGGAGAAAUACUUUUCUGCACAAAUAUCUGGGAGCUUUUUUUUUCUAAAACACCAUCAGGGAUAUCAUUUUCCAAAGCCUAAAGCAAUAUCUUGCCCCAUGGCUAUUUAGAAGGAGCAUACAAAAAUGAAAAGGGAUCUCAACACUGUCAGUCUAAGUGAGUUAAGUGUAAAAAAACUCUCUAGAGAAUGAUGAAAACUGCAUAAGAAGCCAUCUCUGAUUCCACAGGCCUCUCCUCACACAACCCCCCUAAGUUAUUUCUGCAAGCAAAAGCAAGGGAAUGAGCAAAAAAACCACAAGGGUCUAAAAUUACCCAAGCUGCAUGUAAAAUAUGAUUUUUAAUUUUUAAGUAUAAAAAGCUUUUUAAUGAUCACAUCAAACAUGUAUUACUCCUCCUUUUUCUUUUUUUUAAUUAAAAAUUUACCAUUUUUUCCUCUGGAAGAAAACAACUGCUGUCUUCUCAAACUAUUUAAAACCCUGAACAGAUGCAGAGCUUGCAUCAUUGCAACCACACAUAGAAAUGCUUCCACUGUGCAAGAAAAAAAAUGAAUAGUCUUUGUAGAUUAAUUCUAAGAAAAGAGAAAAAUCUACUGGUGUUGUGCCAACUCAUGGUCUGUGGUGAUGAAUUCUUUCUAAAAUAUCCAUCAGAAGCACCCAUCUCAACAGGACGAAGCAGAAACUUUUUGCUGCUUAAUUGAUACUGAAUUAAAUGCAAAAUUCAGUUGGAUUUGGUUAAAAGUGAUUGCAGGACAUAAUAGUUGUUGGCUCCAUCUAUUUUAAGACCCAGGAUGCUUUCUAUUUCAGAAGUUCUGAGAUACAUUACGGGAAUAGCCCAAAUCUGGACUGGGCAGACUUCAGUGUGCCUUAUCAUCUCCCCACAUCUUGGUUUCCAAGCAACGAGAAGGUUCCACAUGGACCCCAAGUCACAAAGAUCUUCAGGGACAGCUGGGCACACCAUGAAGCACAGCUCUUCUCUGCACGGCCACAUGUACUGAGCACCCAGUGUCAGCGACAGAGACCUCUUACUUUCUGAGAUGUAUAUGUUUGCAUUUUCUUCAGUAUGGGCAAAAAAUUAGAUCAGGUUCCUGUAUGUUCAGAAACAUCUGGAAAUGCCUGCAAUUGUUAAAGAUAAAACUACAGCCACCAAAAUCACACUGGGAUUUGUCCUGUUAAUUUACAUUUUCAUCUCAGAAAGUACCUGCAUAUAACAGGAUAAUUUGACUUUGACCACGCUGGACUUCUGAAACAGAGCCCAGGCAUUCACCAUGAGGAAGG
This is a long non-coding RNA of Numida meleagris (helmeted guineafowl), 1761 nucleotides long. RefSeq lists it as uncharacterized. NCBI's taxonomy places the organism in Eukaryota, Metazoa, Chordata, Aves, Galliformes, Numididae. The record is from RefSeq and is a predicted model, not a curated record. The transcript has 3 exons.